CACAACAUAGGAUUCCGAAUCAGUUAGGAGUCAUGGUUCCACUAAAAAUUGGUGCUGCUGAGGCCUCAGGUCAUUUUUUAGAGUCAUCACCAAGAAGAAGGCCUUCACCAGAUGUGUUCCCUGGACCUUGGACUUCCCAGCCUCCAAACUAUGUAAACUGAAUACAUAUGGAAAAAGACAUGGCACGUGGGGUCAUUGAAGAAAGAAGG
Cynocephalus volans (Philippine flying lemur) is the source of this 209-nucleotide long non-coding RNA. RefSeq lists it as uncharacterized. Lineage: Eukaryota; Metazoa; Chordata; Mammalia; Dermoptera; Cynocephalidae. The transcript has 3 exons. The record is from RefSeq and is a predicted model, not a curated record.